This 301-nucleotide ribosomal RNA is filed under the name uncultured bacterium. RNAcentral describes it as "partial 16S ribosomal RNA". It matches the Rfam family "Bacterial small subunit ribosomal RNA", at positions 509 to 807 of the family's 1533-position model. The record is from RNAcentral.
CAGUAGCCGCGGUAAAACGAAGGGGGCUAGCGUUGUUCGGAAUUACUGGGCUUAAAGCGCGUGUAGGCGGGCCGCCACGUCGGUUGCUGAAAUCCCCCGGCUCAACCGGGGAAGUGGCAUCGAUACGAGCGGCCUUGAGGGGGGUAGGGGGAUCUGGAACUUCCGGUGGAGCGGUGAAAUGCGUUGAGAUCGGAAGGAACGCCCGUGGCGAAAGCGAGGUCCUGGACCCUUUCUGACGCUGAGACGCGAAAGCCAGGGGAGCGAACGGGAUUAGAUACCCCCGUAGUCCCUGUCUCUUAUA